RNAcentral lists this ribosomal RNA (451 nucleotides) under uncultured soil bacterium. Its description in RNAcentral is "bacterial SSU rRNA". It matches the Rfam family "Bacterial small subunit ribosomal RNA", at positions 26 to 522 of the family's 1533-position model. The record is from RNAcentral.
AGAACGAACGCUGGCGGCAUGCCUAACACAUGCAAGUCGAACGAACCCUUCGGGGUUAGUGGCGCACGGGUGCGUAACGCGUGGGAACCUACCAUCAGGUUCGGAAUAACAGUUAGAAAUGACUGCUAAUACCGGAUAAUGUCUUCGGACCAAAGAUUUAUCGCCUUUUGAUGGGCCCGCGUUGGAUUAGCUAGUUGGUAAGGUAAAAGCUUACCAAGGCGACGAUCCAUAGCUGGUCUGAGAGGAUGAUCAGCCACACUGGGACUGAGACACGGCCCAGACUCCUACGGGAGGCAGCAGUGGGGAAUAUUGGACAAGUGGGCGAAAGCCUGAUCCAGCAAUGCCGCGUGAGUGAUGAAGGUCCGUUAGGGUUGUAAAGCUUCUUUUACGUGGGAUGAUAAUGACAGUACCCAGAGAAUAAGCUCCGCUAACUCCGCGCCAGCACGCCGAC